CCUACGGGUGACAGCAGUGAGGAAUAUUGGUCAAUGGGCGCAAGCCUGAACCAGCCAAGUAGCGUGAAGGAUGACGGCCCUACGGGUUGUAAACUUCUUUUGUAAGGGAAUAAAGUGAGGCACGUGUACCUUUUUGUAUGUACUUUAUGAAUAAGGAUCGACUAACUCCGUGCCAGCAGCCGCGGUAAUACGGAGGAUCCGAGCGUUAUCCGGAUUUAUUGGGUUUAAAGGGAGCGUAGAUGGGUGGUUAAGUCAGUUGUGAAAGUUUGCGGCUCAACCGUAAAAGUGCAAUUGAAACUGGCAGUCUUGAGUACAGUUGAGGUAGGCGGAAUGAGUGGUGUAGCGGUGAAAUGCUUAGAUAUCACGAAGAACUCCGAUUGCGAAGGCAGCUUACUAAACUGCCACUGACAUUGAUGCUCGAAAGCGUGGGUAUCAAACAGGAUUAGAUACCCCAGUAGUC
RNAcentral lists this ribosomal RNA (460 nucleotides) under uncultured bacterium. RNAcentral describes it as "partial 16S ribosomal RNA". It matches the Rfam family "Bacterial small subunit ribosomal RNA", at positions 338 to 795 of the family's 1533-position model. The record is from RNAcentral.